UCUAAUAUGGCAGAAUAAUGUAAUGGAAUUAAGACCCAUAAAUAAAGUUUAUUAAAUCUUUUGUUAGAA
RNAcentral lists this transfer RNA (69 nucleotides) under Leiodidae sp. BMNH 1274324. RNAcentral's name for it is "tRNA-Leu". Lineage: Eukaryota; Metazoa; Arthropoda; Insecta; Coleoptera; Leiodidae. The record is from RNAcentral.